Molecule: long non-coding RNA, 383 nt
Organism: Physella acuta
Lineage: Eukaryota; Metazoa; Mollusca; Gastropoda; Physidae
Source: RefSeq, a predicted model, not a curated record
UUUUUUACAUCAUCUUUGCUGAGAUCUUAGUCGUUGGCAGAAGUCUUCAAGAUUAAAGUAGACAACAUCAGAUUAUUUUCAAUAAUUGAAGUACUUUGAACCUACAAUUUAUCUCUUGAACACAAAGGACAAAACAUGAAGCUAGUGCUGAAUCUACUGCUUGUUUUAACCCUGUCUUACGCCGCUACUAUUAUAAAGGUUGCUGACCCCAUCAACUCAUCAAAGAGAAAUGACAACGCGGAGGUUCAAGAAGAGAAACGACUGGAAGAUACCAGCGAGGAGCUCAACAACUUUAUCAACGAUCUGAGCGUGGAGACAGAACUCAACCCUGGUCCGGUGCUCAUUAGAAAGGUCAGAGCUCUCCCAGCGGCCAUAGACUGGCG